UGGGGAAUAUUGCACAAUGGGCGAAAGCCUGAUGCAGCAACGCCGCGUGAGUGAUGAAGGUCUUCGGAUUGUAAAGCUCUGUCUUUUGGGACGAUAAUGACGGUACCAAAGGAGGAAGCCACGGCUAACUACGUGCCAGCAGCCGCGGUAAUACGUAGGUGGCGAGCGUUGUCCGGAUUUACUGGGCGUAAAGGGUGCGUAGGCGGAUGUUUAAGUGAGAUGUGAAAUACCCGGGCUUAACUUGGGUGCUGCAUUUCAAACUGGAUAUCUAGAGUGCAGGAGAGGAGAAUGGAAUUCCUAGUGUAGCGGUGAAAUGCGUAGAGAUUAGGAAGAACACCAGUGGCGAAGGCGAUUCUCUGGACUGUAACUGACGCUGAGGCACGAAAGCGUGGGUAGCAAACAGGAUUAGAUACCCUGGUAGUCCACGCCGUAAAACGAUGAGUACUAGGUGUAGGAGGUAUCGACCCCUUCUGUGCCGCAGUAAAACACAUUAAGUACUCCGCCUGGGAAGUACGAUCGCAAG
Molecule: ribosomal RNA, 523 nt
Filed under: uncultured bacterium
Lineage: Bacteria
Description: partial 16S ribosomal RNA
Rfam family: Bacterial small subunit ribosomal RNA
Source: RNAcentral